GAUGAACGCUGGCGGCGUGCCUAAUACAUGCAAGUCGAGCGAACAGACGAGGAGCUUGCUCCUCUGACGUUAGCGGCGGACGGGUGAGUAACACGUGGAUAACCUACCUAUAAGACUGGGAUAACUUCGGGAAACCGGAGCUAAUACCGGAUAAUAUAUUGAACCGCAUGGUUCAAUAGUGAAAGACGGUUUUGCUGUCACUUAUAGAUGGAUCCGCGCCGCAUUAGCUAGUUGGUAAGGUAACGGCUUACCAAGGCGACGAUGCGUAGCCGACCUGAGAGGGGGAUGGGCCCCACGGGAACUGAGCCGCGCACCGGACUCCGACGGGAGGCGGGAGAGGGAAAUCUUCCACAGGGGGCGAAGGUUGGAGGGACCACCGCGGCGUGAGUAAAAAAGGUCUUGGGAUCUUAAACCUUUUUUAUGAGGAAAAAAAAAAUGUAUAAGUAAAUUGGCCCUUCUUGACGUACCUAAAUAAAAAGCCCGCGACAACCUCGGGG
This 497-nucleotide ribosomal RNA is filed under the name uncultured bacterium. RNAcentral's name for it is "partial 16S ribosomal RNA". It matches the Rfam family "Bacterial small subunit ribosomal RNA", at positions 28 to 508 of the family's 1533-position model. The record is from RNAcentral.